This 492-nucleotide ribosomal RNA is filed under the name uncultured bacterium. RNAcentral's name for it is "partial 16S ribosomal RNA". It matches the Rfam family "Bacterial small subunit ribosomal RNA", at positions 29 to 507 of the family's 1533-position model. The record is from RNAcentral.
AGUGAACGCUGGCGGUAGGCCUAACACAUGCAAGUCGAACGGCAGCACAGUAAGAGCUUGCUCUUACGGGUGGCGAGUGGCGGACGGGUGAGGAAUACAUCGGAAUCUACUUUUUCGUGGGGGAUAACGUAGGGAAACUUACGCUAAUACCGCAUACGACCUACGGGUGAAAGCAGUGGAUCUUCGGACCUUGCGCGAUUGUAUGAGCCGAUGUCGGAUUAGCUAGUUGGCGGGGUAAAGGCCCACCAAGGCGACGAUCCGUAGCUGGUCUGAGAGGAUGAUCAGCCACACUGGAACUGAGACACGGUCCAGACUCCUACGGGAGGCAGCAGUGGGGAAUAUUGGACAAUGGGCGCAAGCCUGAUCCAGCCAUACCGCGUGGGUGAAGAAGGCCUUCGGGUUGUAAAGCCCUUUUGUUGGGAAAGAAAAGCAGCAGGUUAAUACCCCGCUGUUCUGACGGUACCCAAAGAAUAAGCACCGGCUAACUUCGUG